UACGUAGGGUCCGAGCGUUGUCCGGAAUUACUGGGCGUAAAGGGCUCGUAGGCGGUCUGUCGCGUCGGUAGUGAAAACUCAGGGAUCAACCCUGAGCGUGCUUUCGAUACAGGCAGACUAGAGGUAUGCAGGGGAGAAUGGAAUUCCUGGUGUAGCGGUGGAAUGCGCAGAUAUCAGGAGGAACACCGGUGGCGAAGGCGGUUCUCUGGGCAUUACCUGACGCUGAGGAGCGAAAGCAUGGGGAGCGAACAGG
This 253-nucleotide ribosomal RNA is filed under the name uncultured bacterium. RNAcentral's name for it is "partial 16S ribosomal RNA". It matches the Rfam family "Bacterial small subunit ribosomal RNA", at positions 524 to 776 of the family's 1533-position model. The record is from RNAcentral.